Molecule: ribosomal RNA, 254 nt
Filed under: uncultured bacterium
Lineage: Bacteria
Description: partial 16S ribosomal RNA
Rfam family: Bacterial small subunit ribosomal RNA
Source: RNAcentral
UACGUAGGGGGCAAGCGUUGUCCGGAUUUAUUGGGCGUAAAGAGCUCGUAGGCGGCUCAGUAAGUCGGGUGUGAAACCUCCAGGCUCAACCUGGAGACGCCACCUGAUACUGCUGUGGCUAGAGUCCGGUAGGGGAGCGUGGAAUUCCUGGUGUAGCGGUGAAAUGCGCAGAUAUCAGGAGGAACACCAGCGGCGAAGGCGGCGCUCUGGGCCGGAACUGACGCUGAGGAGCGAAAGCGUGGGUAGCAAACAGG